GACCACCUCUUGCAGUCGCUCAAACAACCUAUGUUGCUGAGGCAGCCGGAAGGGAGGGUGACGUUUGCUCAGAGAAGGCUGUCGAGAACAGGAAAGACAAAAGAUGGCGUCUGUCUGGAUCUGAGCCUCACCGUGCCAUCAUCCCAAGAAGCAUGACAGAGGAACAGCGCUCCAGAGGAGAGCAGGGGACCUUCUCGGUCGCCCGCUCCCACAGCAGCUGGGUCACUGCCGGUUUCAAUUCAUCCUUCUGCACAAACUCACAGAGCUGAAGAGAAAAGAGAAAGGGCUCAGGCCAAAAAAUAACAACCCCCCCCCAAUCCUUGGUCUGCUUCUCUGAAGAGAACGUUGAGAGCCCGAAGUGGGUAAAAGCAAUACUUAGGGAUGGAAAAGGAAGAAGGAGGCUCGAAAUGUAAAGUUGGGGUUUGGGGAGGUACUUGCACCUCUGUCACUUUUCUACCUUCAUGCCUUCAAAACUACAUUUAUUAAGAUGACAUACUGAAGUCUG
This is a long non-coding RNA of Herpailurus yagouaroundi (jaguarundi), 505 nucleotides long. RefSeq lists it as uncharacterized. NCBI's taxonomy places the organism in Eukaryota, Metazoa, Chordata, Mammalia, Carnivora, Felidae. The record is from RefSeq and is a predicted model, not a curated record. The transcript has 2 exons.